RNAcentral lists this long non-coding RNA (570 nucleotides) under Phoenix dactylifera (date palm). RNAcentral's name for it is "long non-coding RNA (PDAC_LNC007065)". The record is from RNAcentral. Lineage: Eukaryota; Viridiplantae; Streptophyta; Magnoliopsida; Arecales; Arecaceae.
UGACAUAUGUCAGGAAGAGAGAGAAUUUGAUCUCAUCCAAUUCUUUUCAUGAAUUUAUCUCUCCAUUUCGACCCAUCUAAUGAUGAAAGAGGUCCCUGAUGUUGCCAAGUGUCCCAUGACACCAUUAAAUAAAUUAAAUUAAUUUUUAAUCAUAUUAAAAAUCAAUUUAUGGCGCCAUGCAUGGAUAUGUGACAAGUGGAUUUCAAGAUCCGAACAGUUUCAGAUCAAACACAUUUAAUUUAAUUAAAUACUAACAAUUAGAAUGAUCCAAUUAUCAUGGGUUGAACCUAAUCCAAUUAGGUCAAUCCCUAAUUAAGCACAAAUUUAAUCUAAUUUAAUUUGGUCAACCUAAGUCCUCUUGAUUCAGACCUAAUCCAAUCAAGUCAAAAACCCUGAUUGAGCCCAGAAUUGAAUCUAAUUCAAUUUGGCUCAUCCUUAGUCUAAUUACUCAAUCCAAUUGAGUUCAUUAGCAAUCUCAUUACUAGUUAAUCCUCCGAUAAUUACUUUAAUUAUUUUAUAAGAUAAUUUGCCAAUCGAAUUGACCAAAUUAUCCCUAAAUGAUUCUUAAUC